AUGUCUACAUGGAGGCUCUGCUCCCAUGAUCGUCGCUCACCAUGGUGCCCGGCUUUUCCUUAUUGGACUGGAAUGCGCAGAGGCUUCCUGCACUGUCCGGUCCAGUUUGAAUCUUCUUCUCAUAACACAGGUUCCCAUUGUCCUGAUCUGUCGCUGCAGCAGGGAGUCCUCACGAGGGGGAAUAUACUGCCUAAGUCUGACUGCCAUUUGCCGUUAUCUAGCUCCGCCGUCCACAGCCACGCAACUAUAGCCCGAGGCCUCCGACCAUCAUCAAGUGAGGAGAAAUCCCCAAAACAGCACGCGCUGCUGCUUCUGUUGUGUAUCAAAGCAGACGGAGGAGAAACCAAACAAAGUGUGCAUGGAGACCAGCAGCGAAACCUUAAAGGCCAUUGAUGCUUUGCAUUUACAGCAAGAGUGUAACACCGAAAGAGCCUUUUCAGUGCUGAUGUGUCGUUUCUCUCAAAAUAAAGCACCUCAUUUGAUAUCAGA
RNAcentral lists this long non-coding RNA (489 nucleotides) under Sparus aurata (gilthead seabream). RNAcentral's name for it is "lncRNA (ENSSAUG00010004178.1)". The record is from RNAcentral. Lineage: Eukaryota; Metazoa; Chordata; Actinopteri; Spariformes; Sparidae.